CAGCAGCAGCGGCCGCUGCCACUUCGAGGGACCCUAUGUCUACAGCCCUUUCCAAAGGGACGUUGGUGGACGCAACCGUCCUCACAGCGAGAGCAACCUCCCCCUCGUCCACUGCCACCACGGUCGGCGGCUGUGCGGCUUCCCAUUUCAGGAACGGCACAGGCACAGGCACAGGCACCGGCACCAGGCGCGCGAGCUGCUGAACCGCCGCACCGAGCUCGGACCCGGCCUGCCCGAGCCUGCCGCCGAUCUCGACGAGCGACGAGACGGCGACGGCGGGGAGGUCCACGGCCCCGGCCGCGCGGCGCACCCCGCCGACGAAGGGGACAACGGGGAGGUCGAUGUCGAAGGGGAUGACGAUCUUGGGCGGCAACAGCGCCGGCGGCGACCACGGGGGCAGCUGCGGCGGGUGCGCGUGGAGGAGCAGCCCCGAGAAGCCCUGCGCGAGGCGGUCCGCCAGG
RNAcentral lists this long non-coding RNA (461 nucleotides) under Sorghum bicolor (sorghum). Its description in RNAcentral is "long non-coding RNA (SBIC_LNC016758)". The record is from RNAcentral. Lineage: Eukaryota; Viridiplantae; Streptophyta; Magnoliopsida; Poales; Poaceae.